AACACUGUGCCAGAUAAUUGGGUUUCUUUGAUGUGGAAAAGCAUGUGGGUUAUAGUCCUUCUGGUGUUA
This 69-nucleotide transfer RNA is filed under the name Teredothyra matocotana. RNAcentral's name for it is "tRNA-Ile". The record is from RNAcentral. Lineage: Eukaryota; Metazoa; Mollusca; Bivalvia; Myida; Teredinidae.